UGCCAGCCGCCGCGGUAAUACGGAGGGUGCAAGCAUUAAUCGGAUUUAUUGGGCGUAAAGGGCGUCUAGGCGGGAAAGAAAGUCAGAUGUGAAAUUCCAGAGCUCAACUCUGGAGCCGCAUUUGAAACUUCUUUUCUUGAGGGUAGGCGGAGAUAGUAGAAUUCCACGUGUAGCGGUGAAAUGCGUAGAUAUGUGGAAGAAUACCAGUGGCGAAGGCGACUAUCUAGCUUAUUCCUGACGCUGAAGCGCGAAAGCAAGGGGAGCAAACAGGAUUAGAUA
RNAcentral lists this ribosomal RNA (279 nucleotides) under uncultured bacterium. Its description in RNAcentral is "partial 16S ribosomal RNA". It matches the Rfam family "Bacterial small subunit ribosomal RNA", at positions 506 to 784 of the family's 1533-position model. The record is from RNAcentral.